Molecule: long non-coding RNA, 269 nt
Organism: Mesocricetus auratus (golden hamster)
Lineage: Eukaryota; Metazoa; Chordata; Mammalia; Rodentia; Cricetidae
Exons: 2
Source: RefSeq, a predicted model, not a curated record
GCUCGUUUGACCACGUGUUCGGGUCCUGGGAAACCCGGGAAGCCGCCGCAGCUCUCGCGCCCUCAGGUCCAGUGGACAGCGCGGAGGGGCUCCCAGGGCCGGAGAGGUUGGUCUCACUGGAACUGCUGGGCAGUGAGCUCCUGGGAUUAGCGAGCUCCUGGGAUUAGCGUGUCUGCAUCUCAGUGCUGAAUUACGGGCUCCCACUCCCACAUGACCGAGCUAUCUCCCCAGCAUGUCCUGCACCUUCAAAACAACCACUUGUAUUUGGG